ACUGUUAUUUUAUAUUAAAAACUUGACCCCAGCAUUUCCAUUUACCUCCAUUUAUUUUGGAUGGAGUGAGUUCACUCGAAAGGGGGCGUGGCUUAAUUUGCGAGCGUGAUGUGACUGACGACGGACUGCAGAUGACGUAGCGGGGUGUUGUGACUUCUUCCACUCGUGCCUGAGGCUGUUGGCAGGUUGGAAUUACUCACUGUGACUUUAAAUGCUGUCCAUCCAAGAAGUGUAUUAUGGCGCAGUCCUUUAGGAGAUACUACUGCAGCGUCCCUUAUUGCUCCAGCAACAAACAGAAACACCCCUAUUUGAGUUUCCAUGAGUUCCCCUUCCACGCAGAUACAAGUGCACGGUGGGUCAGGGCAAUCAAAAGAGAGGAGGGCCUGAGUUUCAGAGUCCUCCGUGGGAGCACCUAUGUGUGCAGUCAACACUUUGACUCAGAGGAUGAAGUCAUCUCAGUCAGUGGACGGAUCCGGAUCAAACGUGGAGCAGUGCCAUCCAGAUUCCACUGGAACGACUGGGGCAGAGGCUCAAAACCUUCAGUUCUCCAACGAGAGAGGAAGCUGCUUGCAGGUGCCAUGGCAAAAGAUCAUAACUAUGCCUGCUGUUCCCGUUCAGGUGAUCCGGACUCUUCCACCCAGAGAACAACAGAUCUCAAACUGCAGCUUCAGUCACCAAACAUCGACCUCCAGCAGCAGCCCCUGAUCUUCAAGUUCUGCAGCACCGAUGCAGACUGUCGUUACUACACCCGAUUCAGCUCCAUGCAGGUCUUCACUGUGUUUUGGGAAUCAGUUUACCCCUCUGCAUCAAGGCUUGUGAAGUGCUCCGAGGCACUGCAGGCGGCACACGGGACCCCGAGUCCUCAACCAGAGCUUCCACUCAUCGAUGAACUAUUCAUGUUUCUCUGUCGGGUUGCAGCUGGGAUCCAGGAGAGAACGUUGUCCUCCAUCUUUGAUGUAAGCGUGUCUUCAGUCAGACACAUCAUUGUAUCAUGGACUCGCUACCUGUACCUGAUUCUGGGCUCGCUACCAGUGUGGAUGACGAGAGAGCAAGUGCAGGCCACAAUGCCCGAGAGGUUGAAGCUCUGCUACCCUCAGCUGAGAGUGAUAAUCGAGCGCACUGAGAUCCACUGUGAAACUGCAUCCUCUCUCUCCCUGCACUCACAAACUGUUUCAAACUGUACAAACCCUGCCUCCUUUAAAGGUCUGAUUGGCAUCGCUCCAUGUGGGGUGAUCACAUUUGUAUCCAGACUGUUCACAGACUCCAUCUCUGAUGAAGAAGUAACAGAAAGGUCACAGAUCAAACAGCUGCUGGAGCCCGGAGACGCAGUGAUAGCUGACAGAGGUUUCCUGACAGAGAGGAUGAUGUCAGAGCUGGGAGCGACACUCGAGUCUCCUCCGCUCAGCGUGGAGGACUCACACAAGACCAGAGCCUUAAACCAUGUGAGUGUUUUAGGAGAGAGAACCAUACGCAGGGUGAAGGAGCACCACAUUUGGGAUGGGCCUGUGCCCCUCUCUGUGGUGGACUCUGUGGAUCAGCUGUGGGUGGUGUGUUGCCUCAUGUCAAACUAUCAGGGAGCUCUGGAGUCAUAAGAUUAUUUGAUAUACAGGUUAGUGUUUUCUAACAAGCUUCUUAACUCUGAAGAAGUCAAUGACUGCAGGGUGGGGGCUUGGUUUGUUUAUUACAGACUGAUUUUCCUUUUGGGUCAAAUUAUUUUAUUGUAAACAUUUUUGGGGGCACACGGCCGACCUGAAGGGUGCAAAGUCAAAGGUACUUCCAGAGCCAGCCUCUAGUGGACACUAGAUAAACUGCAGUUUAUAACACUUCCUCAUUGGCUUCAACUCUCCCAUCACAGCCUGUUUAUAAUUAAUAGGAUACAGAAUACAGGGGAAAUACAGAAUAAACCUUUAACAGACACACACAUGAAGAAGUGAUGAGACAGAAGAGCAAUAAAUCAAUACAAAAGCAUUAAAGGACAAUAAAAAGGUUUUAGGAAGAAGACGAAAUCACAUCAGAGACAAUAGAAAUGGAUAGAUUGACAACAUUAAAAUAA
Molecule: RNA transcript, 2053 nt
Organism: Notolabrus celidotus (New Zealand spotty)
Lineage: Eukaryota; Metazoa; Chordata; Actinopteri; Labriformes; Labridae
Exons: 5
Source: RefSeq, a predicted model, not a curated record